UUUCAUGACAAAUAUGCGGUCAUUUGAUGCUUUUUCCUAAGAUUUUAAUAAAAAUUUUAAUACGAACCUUAGUCACAUCACAGGGAACAUAGGAGAAGAGUUUUUACAGUGGACAUGAAAGGAGUCUGAACAUUAUAAAUGGCUACACAGAGAUGAAUCAGGAUGAUGAAGUUCAUCAUCAACAUCACCUCCACAGUCAGUGUCCUCAUUACAUAGAUAGGUAAAAAUAGUGUCAGAGAAUUGGGGCAUUUUUAGCAAAAGCCAGGAUAUAACUUACCAGAGAUGAGAACAGUAUGUGUAGGAGAGGGUGAUGAAGAGAAGGCUCUUCUCUGGGUGCAAGGGAAGA
This 346-nucleotide long non-coding RNA is filed under the name Marmota monax (woodchuck). Lineage: Eukaryota; Metazoa; Chordata; Mammalia; Rodentia; Sciuridae. The record is from RNAcentral.